Molecule: unclassified non-coding RNA, 610 nt
Filed under: Hevea brasiliensis (rubber tree)
Lineage: Eukaryota; Viridiplantae; Streptophyta; Magnoliopsida; Malpighiales; Euphorbiaceae
Source: RNAcentral
CGGGUGGAACAAUGGUUGCAAAGGGAUUGCCAUAUGGGCUUAAAAGGGGCCUGAUUUGAGGAAAGGGACCAUUCCAGUAAGGUGAUAAAUAACCUGUCAUAGCUCCUGGAAACAUGGCAUUUCCUGUCUGAAGCAUAGGAUGUGGACUUGAAGCAGCUGGGCAGUCUCUUAUAAAAUGAUCUGGAGAUCCACACAUGUAACAUGUUCGGUCCCCCUUUCUGUGCCUUCCUGUCUCCAUAAAGCUUCUGUCUACACCUGCAGUGUUGACACAUGAUCCUCUCUUCUUCUUGAUGGUAGACUCAGCUUCCUCGUGCAUGGGCUGGUUCUCCCCUUGAAACUCAGAAACCAAGUCCUCAGCUCCUCUUUCCAAAUCCACCGGAUGUCUAGAGCCAUGCUUUUCUGCAUCUAAUUGUUUUAGCUUAUGACAAAGCGAUGAUUUGCCACCAACUGAUUUUCCCAUAAUUUGAUUGGAACCCCUCCUUGUAGCACAGGGAGAAUGAGGCAACACUGCUUCUCUUUGGUGAACACUCACAGCACAUGACAGUUCUUUCACUUGAAUUCCAGAUUCUCCAUCUGGAGCAUACCCAAAGGCAUUGUCUGAACUUUUGAU